Molecule: ribosomal RNA, 1027 nt
Filed under: Symbiodinium sp. Mp
Lineage: Eukaryota; Dinophyceae; Suessiales; Symbiodiniaceae
Description: partial Bacterial small subunit ribosomal RNA
Rfam family: Bacterial small subunit ribosomal RNA
Source: RNAcentral
CUGAGAGUUUGAUCCUGGCUCAGAACGAACGCUGGCGGCAGGCUUAACACAUGCAAGUCGAACGAACUCUUCGGAGUUAGUGGCAGACGGGUGAGUAACGCGUGGGAACGUGCCCUUCUCUAAGGAAUAGCCACUGGAAACGGUGAGUAAUACCUUAUACGCCCUUCGGGGGAAAGAUUUAUCGGAGAAGGAUCGGCCCGCGUUGGAUUAGGUAGUUGGUGGGGUAAUGGCCUACCAAGGCGACGAUCCAUAGCUGGUCUGAGAGGAUGAUCAGCCACACUGGGACUGAGACACGGACCAGACUCCUACGGGAGGCAGCAGUGGGGAAUAUUGGACAAUGGGGGCAACCCUGAUCCAGCCAUGCCGCGUGUGUGAAGAAGGCCUUCGGGUUGUAAAGCACUUUCAGUGAGGAGGAAAACUCUGCGACUAAUACUCGUAGGGCUUGACGUUACUCACAGAAGAAGCACCGGCUAACUCCGUGCCAGCAGCCGCGGUAAUACGGAGGGUGCAAGCGUUAUCCGGAAUCACUGGGUUUAAAGGGUGCGUAGGCGGUUAGUUAAGUCAGAGGUGAAAGCCCGGCGCUCAACGUCGGAAUUGCCUUUGAUACUGGCUAACUUGAAUCAGGUUGAGGUGGGCGGAAUGUGGCAUGUAGCGGUGAAAUGCAUAGAUAUGCCAUAGAACACCAAUUGCGAAGGCAGCUCACUGGCCCUGCAUUGACGCUGAGGCACGAAAGCGUGGGGAGCGAACAGGAUUAGAUACCCUGGUAGUCCACGCCCUAAACGAUGCUUACUCGAUAUUCGGUCGUAAGACGGAGUGUCCAAGGGAAACCGAUAAGUAAGCCACCUGGGGAGUACGUUCGCAAGAAUGAAACUCAAAGGAAUUGACGGGGGCCCGCACAAGCGGUGGAGCAUGUGGUUUAAUUCGAUUAUACGCGAGGAACCUUACCUGGGCUCGAAUGCGCGUGACCGGUCCUGAAAGGGACUUUCUCUUCGGAGCACAAAGCAAGGUGCUGCAUGGCUGUCGUCAG